AGAGUUUGAUCAUGGCUCAGGAUGAACGCUGGCGGCGUGCCUAACACAUGCAAGUCGAACGAAGCGCCUGAUCAGAUUUCUUCGGAAUGAAGAUUUUGCGACUGAGUGGCGGACGGGUGAGUAACGCGUGGGCAACCUGCCUCAUACAGGGGGAUAACAGCCGGAAACGGCUGCUAAUACCGCAUAAGCGCACAGGACCGCAUGGUCCGGUGUGAAAAACUCCGGUGGUAUGAGAUGGGCCCGCGUCUGAUUAGCCAGUUGGCGGGGCAGCGGCCCACCAAAGCGACGAUCAGUAGCCGACCUGAGAGGGUGACCGGCCACAUUGGGACUGAGACACGGCCCAAACUCCUACGGGAGGCAGCAGUGGGGAAUAUUGCACAAUGGGGGAAACCCUGAUGCAGCGACGCCGCGUGAGCGAAGAAGUAUUUCGGUAUGUAAAGCUCUAUCAGCAGGGAAGAAGAAAGUGACGGUACCUGACUAAGAAGCACCGGCUAAAUACGUGCCAGCAGCCGCGGUAAUACGUAUGGUGCAAGCGUUAUCCGGAUUUACUGGGUGUAAAGGGAGCGCAGGCGGUACGGCAAGUCUGAUGUGAAAGCCCGGGGCUCAACCCCGGUACUGCAUUGGAAACUGUCGGACUAGAGUGUCGGAGGGGUAAGCGGAAUUCCUAGUGUAGCGGUGAAAUGCGUAGAUAUUAGGAGGAACACCAGUGGCGAAGGCGGCUUACUGGACGACAACUGACGCUGAGGCUCGAAAGCGUGGGGAGCAAACAGGAUUAGAUACCCUGGUAGUCCACGCCGUAA
Molecule: ribosomal RNA, 800 nt
Filed under: uncultured bacterium
Lineage: Bacteria
Description: bacterial SSU rRNA
Rfam family: Bacterial small subunit ribosomal RNA
Source: RNAcentral